RNAcentral lists this ribosomal RNA (118 nucleotides) under uncultured gamma proteobacterium HF0200_34B07. RNAcentral also lists the same sequence under 1 other name. Lineage: Bacteria; Pseudomonadati; Pseudomonadota; Gammaproteobacteria. The record is from RNAcentral.
UGCCUGGCGGCCAUAGCGAGUGGGAACCACCUGAAUCCUUUUCGAACUCAGAAGUGAAAACGCUUAGCGCCGAUGAUAGUGCGGGGUUUCCCCGUGUGAAAGUAGGACACUGCCAGGC